AGAGUUUGAUCAUGGCUCAGGACGAACGCUGACGGUGUGCUUUAGGCAUGCAAGUCGAACGAGAAAGCCUUCGGGGUGAGUAAAGUGGCGAACGGGUGAGUAACACGUGGGCAACCUGCCCCUCGCAGGGGGACAACCGGAGGAAACUCCGGCUAAUACCCCGUAAGCUCUACACGCCGCAUGGCGAGUAGAGGAAAGGUAGCUUCGGCCAUCCGGCGAGGGAUGGGCCCGCGGUGCAUUAGCUAGUUGGUGGGGUAACGGCCCACCAAGGCGACGAUGCGUAGCUGGUCUGAGAGGAUGAUCAGCCACACUGGGACUGAGACACGGCCCAGACUCCUACGGGAGGCAGCAGCCAGGAAUCUUGGGCAAUGGGCGAAAGCCUGACCCAGCAACACCGUGUGGGUGAUGAAGGCCUUCGGGUCGUAAAGCCCUGUUGAUAGGGACGAAGGGCGAAGGGUUAAUAGCCCGGAGCUUGACGGUACCUUUCGAGGAAGCCCCGGCUAACUACGUGCCAGCAGCCGCGGUAAUACGUAGGGGGCGAGCGUUGUCCGGAAUUAUUGGGCGUAAAGAGCGUGUAGGCGGUUCGGUAAGUCUGUCGUGAAAUCCUGGGGCUCAACCCUGGGCGUGCGAUGGAUACUGCCGGGCUAGAGGGUGGUAGAGGCGAGUGGAAUUCCCGGUGUAGCGGUGAAAUGCGCAGAUAUCGGGAGGAACACCAGUAGCGAAGGCGGCUCGCUGGGCCACACCUGACGCUGAGGCGCGAAAGCUAGGGGAGCGAACAGGAUUAGAUACCCCCGUAGUCC
This 800-nucleotide ribosomal RNA is filed under the name uncultured Rubrobacter sp. RNAcentral's name for it is "bacterial SSU rRNA". It matches the Rfam family "Bacterial small subunit ribosomal RNA", at positions 8 to 796 of the family's 1533-position model. The record is from RNAcentral. Lineage: Bacteria; Bacillati; Actinomycetota; Rubrobacteria; Rubrobacterales; Rubrobacteraceae.